Sesamum indicum (sesame) is the source of this 2755-nucleotide non-coding RNA. The record is from RefSeq and is a predicted model, not a curated record. NCBI's taxonomy places the organism in Eukaryota, Viridiplantae, Streptophyta, Magnoliopsida, Lamiales, Pedaliaceae.
UUGAGGAUGUAGGAGCAUUACUGAACAACCUUAAUUUUUCUAUGCCGCAUUUAUUUUCCUUCUUGUAUCUGCACGCAUUUCUCAGUCUACCUCAAAUAUUUUAACAAUAAUCUCAAUUUUUUAACAUUAAUCACAUGAAAAUCGGAACUCGCCUUGUGCCCCCUUUACACUUUGAAAUUGCCCUCUUAUGUCAAUCAAAAUCUCUAUAUCGGUUAAACUUUCUUAGUCCAUUCCUGACUAUGGAUCAUGUUUAUUUGGUUCCAUUGCUUAGUAGAAAAAUUAUAUUUUGAGGAAGAAAAUAGACUUAGUUAAUUCAUGAAGUCUUUAUUUAAAUUUUGUGGCUUUAUUGAUGAUGUUUGGCUAAUAUGAUUUCUGUUUCCUCAUAUAUUCUGCAUUCUAUGUUUCAUGUGGCAGUGCGUUGUUUGGGGUAUUAUGCCAUUGACUCUGACAAGAUCCAGUGCUUCUGUUAAUCAUGCCAUCACUUUUCUCAUCAUCCUGCAGUACAUCCCACGACUGAUCGUUAUUUUCCCUUUGAAUUAUAGAAUUAUAAAACACACCGGUGUUGUGGCAAGUGCUUGGACAGGGGCAGCAUACAAUCUCAUUCUCUACUUGUUAGCAAGUCAUGUCAUAGGAGCUGUAUGGUAUUUGAUGUCAGUUGAACGAGUAUUUUCGUGCUGGAAGGAAUACUGUUUGUUAGAAAAGAGCGGUGUACCUUGUAGACCUGAUUAUCUUGACUGUUCAUCUUCAGGCAAUGCAUAUGAUAGAUGGUAUAAAUCCACUCAGAUCUUCAAAAAGUGUAGUGGAAAAAGUAAUGAAUUUGAUUUAGGAAUAUUCGCUAACGCUGUCAGUGACGAUGUUCCUUCAGCAGCUUUCAUCCCGAAAUACUUUUACUGUCUGUGGUACGGUUUAAAAAAUCUAAGUUCAUAUGGACAAAGUUUAAAGACGAGUAAUUAUGUGGUUGAGACAAUCUUCAGUAUUAUAAUAUGUCUUAUGGGCCUAGUCUUCUUCGCACUGCUGAUAGGCAAUAUGCAGACCUACCUACAAUCUACGACAGCAAGACUUGAAGAAUGGAGGGUCAAACGAAGAGAUACAGAGGAAUGGAUGAGACAUCGCCAACUACCUCCGGAGCUGCAGGAGCGUGUGCGCCGAUUUGUCCAAUACAACUGGCUUUCUACAAGAGGUGUAAAAGAAGAUAUCAUUCUGCAAGAAUUACCACUGGACUUACGCCGCGAAAUUCAGAAGCAUCUUUGCCUAGAUCUUGUCCGUCGUGUACCUUUCUUCUCAAAAAUGGACGACCAACUCUUGGAUGCAAUAUGUGAACGCCUAGUUUCAUCUUUGAACACCAGAGGAACAUAUAUUGUCCGUGAAGGGGAUCCAGUUACUGAAAUGCAUUUCAUAAUCCGAGGCCAACUUGAAAGUUCAACAACUGAUGGUGGACGGUCAGGGUUCUUCAAUUCCAUCACCCUCAAACCUGGCGAUUUCUGUGGCGAAGAACUGCUGACAUGGGCGCUGAUGAAUACUUCAGACAUAAACCUUCCAGCUUCUACUCGAACGGUCAAGUGCAACACAGAAGUGGAAGCCUUUGCCCUUCGUGCAGAUGACCUCAGAUUCUUUGCAAAUCAAUUUAAACGGCUGCACAGCAAGAAACUGCAGCACGUUUUUCGCUACUAUUCUCACCAAUGGAGGACUUGGGGAGCUCGCAUUUUACAAGCUGCUUGGAGAAGAUAUAAGAGGAGGAAACUUGCUGAGGAACUGGCGAGACAUGAGAGCAUGUAUUAUAUGCAAUUAUCUGACGAUGAUGAUGAUGGGGAUGAUGAUGAUGAUGACAAUAGCCACAAACCUUCAAUAGAAAGCAAUACUCUUGCGGCUACUAUAUUAGCUUCUAAAUUUGCUGCAAACACAAGGAAAGGGGCUGCUCAAAAGGUAAGGUUUGUCGAACCUGGAGACUCCAGCUUACGAAUGCCAAAGCUUUUUAAGCCCGAGGACCCUAGUUUUUGAGAGGAUAAAGAAGAUAGAGAAAUGGGAGCAAGUGAUGACAAAUGGCAGGACUAAGCGGCAGCAUUUUAUAGGUAUGAUAGUUUUUUUGCAACUGCUGAUCUUUUGGAACGCUAGCCUGGUAUAUGAUCAAAUGGAGUUCGUCUUAGGUUGAUGGAUGAACGACUUGUUUUAUGACUUGGGAUGAUACAACAUUUGCAGGCCUAUUAGAACAUUCCCAGCUUCUCAGAGUGCAUAUAUAUGCUGGUCUCUCCUUUCAGGGGUUGAAAAGCUUGUUUCACAGUUGAAGAAAUCGUGAACCACCCGAUAUUUUAGUGGAUGGAAAUUUAAAGAUGUGAGUAGGUUGUCUGCAAAUACAUCUUUUGAUUGCCUAUCCCUAUGUACAAGCACCUAUUCCUUGCUCCAGAUAUCAUCUUCAUGAUUAAACUCAGAAAAUUGAAUCGGAAAUGGGAAGUAGAAGCAGUAUCAUUCUGAUAAUCUUAAUGAUUAUCCCAUGGUAAAAUCUACCAGCUCAUUGUAUUAGCAUCACAUAGGGAUCCUACUGGUAUUUUGUUAUCAUUAUAGCUGAUAAUGAGAAAGCAUAUCCGAAAGGCUUUAGUACUGGGCACGAAGCUGCAGCACAGCUCGGUUAGAAACAUAUGAUCAAUCUUAAAUUUGUUGUAAUUAGGAGUCUUAUGUAAUAUUUUUAUGAUGUGUAGCUGAGAAAACUUGAUUAUCUGCCAAGACAUAGUAUGUACUUGACCGCAAUAUCAAUGUGGUG